This 86-nucleotide small nucleolar RNA is filed under the name Phaseolus vulgaris (common bean). Its description in RNAcentral is "small nucleolar RNA snoR114". It matches the Rfam family "small nucleolar RNA snoR114". Lineage: Eukaryota; Viridiplantae; Streptophyta; Magnoliopsida; Fabales; Fabaceae. The record is from Rfam by way of RNAcentral.
UAGCUGUGACGAACUAGUGUCCACGGUGAUAGGUGGGUCUAUUACACUUCUCUGAUUUUCAGACGAUUGGUGACACAUCUGAGCUU